This 236-nucleotide long non-coding RNA is filed under the name Lepidothrix coronata (blue-crowned manakin). RNAcentral's name for it is "lncRNA (ENSLCOG00000001755.1)". Lineage: Eukaryota; Metazoa; Chordata; Aves; Passeriformes; Pipridae. The record is from RNAcentral.
AGCUGGAGAAGCAAGGCAAAAGUGAGAGCAGGAACAUCUCAGCCCGGCGCAAACACCUCAACAAAACGUGGCUGCGGCUGCAGGGGACUCUGAAGGAGCACCACGAGACUCUGCAGCUGGCCCUGGAGGUGUCCGCCUUCUUCCAGCAAGCGGAUAUCCUGCUCGGGGCCAUUCAUGCGAAGCACAGCAGCAUCUGCGGCACAGGGAAGUCAGUGGAGGGUGUGCCAUGCCAGGAU